CAUGACCACGAUUCUCACAGCAGAAUGCCGAAAUUCGAACCAUGAAUUCAAUGGUUGGAGCUUCGGUACCCAUUACCCAACAGUUUAUUUAUUUAUUAGAGCAAUGUCUUCGAUUCGAGGUUUCAGUGGAGCUUGCAAGUCUGAAGAGAUAUGUGCAUCAAAUCCGCAAAAACCUCUCCCGAAUUCGGAUAUUUUUCUGACGUUUAACUUCGCAGCUGCCUUCUCUUGUGCUGUGGUUGUUCACUUGUAGAAGCUUGGGUCAGUGUCAGAAGUUGCUGGGCCACGUGUUGAUUGGAUUUGACAAGAUUGACAUUGCGGUGUAUCUGCUGCUGCAAUUGGUGUGGCGAUUUUUUGUGGAUAGCUUUCGAAGUCACGCUGCGUUGAUAGGAAGAGGGCUGAUGUAACGAUGCCGAAUGAAGCCCCGCUGAGCUGGGCUGCUCUGGCCGGUUGUCCAAUCUCAUCAAGGUUGUGGAAUUGUCCUUGUGGGGUCUCUUUCAAAGCUUUACUUGGCGCCGACAUUCCUGAGAUUUGCAGAGAUUCUUCGCCCUUCAAAGCUGCCGUUGAUGUCUGCUUGUGCCACUUCUAAAAGUCUCUACUUCGCAGUUGAAUGAGAGUUUGCUAGAGUUCGACAUGGCAAUUUGUUCAAAUGUCUUCGCUCUGCUACGAUAAUUUGACAUAGUGAACGAAGUUUCUUGAGGUGAAAAUUGACGCAAUGCCGAUGUAGCGAGAAGCGAGAGGAGUUGGAAGCAGGUGUGCUAAUAUUUCACGCAUAGGUUCCAUACAGUGGUAAACUCCACAUCCUCUUUCAUAUCAGUCUUGACUUCCGAAAGUUGUUUUGGCGCGUCGAUGGGAUAAUUCCGUUACACCCAGAUUCUGAGGGCAUCAUGAUAGCCUCAAAAAUCACUUGGCGAGGUUUUGUGUACAUAAGCAAUUGCGCAUUAGUCUUAGUAGAAUGACUGUCAAGGGUUAAGGGGUCAAGGGUUGAGAGGCCAGUUGGUUUAAAAAGACAGUUUAAUCGAAACUGCUCACCAGCGAAUUGUGUCAGCACCGUUUUCGAUUCUGGAUCUCUUAGAUUAUGUGUUGCUUGGAAUCAUCGACAAACGCAACAUUUUAGGAUGAAUUCGCUUACUUUCUACUGAUUAUGUGCGUGUAUGCGCAUGGAGGAAUGUUUUGUAGGUGUUGUUCAAACGAGUGUACCAUACAGACAAUGUUCAGUUCAUCAAGGGAUUUUUGUGGGUGUGGAUUGUGGAAUCAUGUUUUACAUCAAUAAGCAUGUGAUGAGUUUCGUGAAAUGAUUAUCAGCGCACCUCCUGUGCAUUAGAGCUUGAGAGAAAACUUGUACUGUAAUGUGAUAAUUGGGAGAUAUCGUACUUCAGGCUCAACAUACCCUAGUUACUCGCCGAUUCAACCUUCCCUGUUCUUUGUACAGUUGGAUGGCUACUGUAGAACUUGCUUAUUUAUUUCUGCUUUGUUGCUGAAAAUGUUGGCAAAGGGUGUCUCGUCACAGAGUAAUAAAACUUCAAUAGUCAUACUGAUGCUUA
Molecule: non-coding RNA, 1541 nt
Organism: Physcomitrium patens
Lineage: Eukaryota; Viridiplantae; Streptophyta; Bryopsida; Funariales; Funariaceae
Source: RefSeq, a predicted model, not a curated record